CACCGCGGUUACACGUGAGGCCCAAAUAGACAAGCAGACGGCGUAAAGCGUGACCAAGGACCAAAAAAACAAUAAAGUGAAACGCUCUUUGCGCUGUUCCACGCCAAUUAGAAUAAGGAGGCCCAUCUACGAAAGUGACUUUAUUUGCCCCUACCCACUAAAGCUUUGACA
RNAcentral lists this ribosomal RNA (171 nucleotides) under Parapercis multiplicata. RNAcentral describes it as "partial 12S rRNA". The record is from RNAcentral. Lineage: Eukaryota; Metazoa; Chordata; Actinopteri; Uranoscopiformes; Pinguipedidae.